UUGUGACCUCAUCGAGGUUGCCAUUUGCUUGUGGUAUGCUAUUGUUCCUCCUGGGAGUGAGAUCCCUUCUGUGUGGACGACCUUCCCUCUCUUUGUGACCAUCCAACCACACUUCUCUAGUCCGAAUGACAUUCCAAUGUCAGUGCUGUAGGUCCUGGUGGUGUGAAUCAGUGUCGAUGUCUCGCUCGCUCUUGGCGUACAGCUUGAUGUCAUCUAUGUAGAGGAGGUGACUGAUUGUGGCCCCAUUCUUGAGUCGGUAUCCCUAGAAAGUCUUGUUGAUGAUUUGGCUGAGGGGGUUCAGGCCUAUGCAGAACAGCAGUGGGGACAGAGCAUCUCCUUGGUAUAGGCCACAUUUGAUGGACACUUGUACAAGUGGUUUGCAGUUGACUUCAAAGGUGGUUUUCCACAGCCCCAUCGAGUUUGCAAUGAAGGCUCUUAGGGUCAUAUUGAUGUUGUACAUCUCCAAGCAUUCAAUGAUCCAAGUGUGUGGCAUUGAGUCAUAGGUUUUGCAGUCUCGGGCGACUGUGUGGUCUACAAGGAGUUGGUGUUUGGCUCCUCUGCUAUUUAUGCCUAUGCCCUUAUGUGCCGUGCUCAUGUAUUUAUCCAUGUGGCCCCUUAUCUUAGCCGCUAUGAUGCCUGACAUGAGCUUCCAUAUUCCAUAUUGGCCGUGCACAGGGUGGUGUGUCGGGUUUUGCAAUCUUGCGUGAAACCCGAAAUAAAUAAAUAUACAUUCUGUAUGUAUUCUGUUUUUAUUGCUCUACAUACUUGUGAUGUCGUUCAUAUUACCAUUUCUGCUCACACUCUCAUAUACACACACAUGCAACACAGUUAAUGAUACUCAUUCUCUGCAACACCAUACCCCGUUUUCUUCUUUGUUAGCUCUGAUUUUAUUUUCCGUUCAUUAUGGUUCACACCAUCUCGUUUUAAAUUGUGAUAUUAAAUAAAAAAAGAAUAAAAAAUAAAUAAAAAAAUAUAUAAGAAAUGUCUCGCCCACAUUCUUCAAUGUAGGAGAACACUUUUUUUUUAUAACUAUUGAUCUUCAAUAGUUAUCAAUAGGUGUAUUGAUAACUAUAGAGGCCUGAAUUUCAUGUUAUUGUAGCUCCACAGACCCCUUGUUUACUCCUGUUCCCAGUAUGGAAGUAAAUAUGUGUCACCAGAAUAUGCCACUGACAUUUUAAUGUAUAUGUAUAUUUGGACGUACCAUUUCAAUGUUCACAUAUAUCCAGAAUACAUUUUUGACCUAAAGCAUUUCGUUAUUUUUACAUUGGUAGAAAUUUCAUUUAUUUCCACUUCAAGCAAAAAUUUCACAGUACUAUUUCAAAGUAAUCAACUUUUCAGUCUUAAAAGUCAAAAAUCAAACGCAAUAUUUUCAGUCUCCUUAGAUUCAAUUGGCUCAAUUUUGCUGUCUGAAAUUCAGCAUCUAAAAAUUUAGUAUAAAAAAGGGAAAGUUACUGGCAGUCACAUACAUUAGCAAUGAAUGUCAGAUUCCAAAACCCAGUCAAUCCAGUUGUUUCUUAGUCACGUGUUUUUAGUCACAUGACCUGAUGUUUUAUGCUUAUGUGGAGAUCACAUUGAAGGAAAACUAUCAUCGAGGCAGUCCUGGAAGCUAACGCCAACGCAACGGUAAGUUUAAUACUUUUAUUUUUAAGUAGUAUUGUUUUUCAUACAUCAUCUUGCAGCUCGAUUUAGUUAACAGGUUUUGGUGACUUUUUUUUUUUUUUACAUUUUCCAGUUUGUUCACUUUAUUGGCACUUAUUUUAGAAGUGUUUAGUGCACAAAAUGGUUUACGUUAAGGUAAAUUCAUGUCACCAUAUAACAAUUUUACCGUAACACAACAUCAAUUAUUUUGCAGAUGGUCUGCCAAAAAUAAAUCCCUAGUCUGUCCUUAGGACAAAAACUGCAUAUUUUUAGUCUGGGUUUACUCAUUUCUUAACCCUUACCAUGUUAAUAUAUUCUAACCAUUUUUCUGUUUCCCCUAUUUUUCCAAUCCCAAAUCUGUGGUGUUUUUAAGCACCUUGACUGGCAAGUUUUGUCUGCAUACUGAUAAUAUAGUUUGGUUAAAGUUUAAACAGUCCCCCAAUUAGGAUUUUUGAGUUCUGCUCAAAUUUCUCAUUAAUGCAUUUCAUACUUUCAGAUACUUGUACAUACCGUUUAUAGGGUACAUUUGUUUAAAGAUAUGAAGAUUCCACAACUCAUGUUUAUGGUUAAUAGGAAUGGAGGAAGCUGCUUCAUAUAUAGAAAGUGAUAAUCAAAGGUUUAAAAAAAGUAUAUUAAGAGUUUUAAUAUUUAAUACACAUUUUUUAAAGACAGUAGUGAUAGCCUAUAGUUUUGUGUGGUCAUCAACAUGAUAUUCAGUUUUUAACCAUACAUCUGAGGCCUCAUGCAUAAAGCCUGUGCACGCACAAAAAUUGUGCGGCGCCAUGUUUUACCCACAAGUCGGCAUGUAUAAAAAUGAACUUCGUGUCAAAGUUUGCGUGCCUGCCACACACUUUUUCACUGGCGUUAAAGCGUGUGGCAGGCACGCAAACUUUUUCUGUGAACAAUAUUAAACUACAAAGUGUUAAAACUCACAUAAAUACACUGAAAUCUGACUACAUUCAAUGUUAUUUAGACCAAGAAGCAUCAAACCCAAUAUUUUUUUCAUGAUUUUAAUAUUUUAUUGUUUAAAUGUAAACGAUAAAACUGAACCGCAUUUAUCCUCAGGC
Molecule: non-coding RNA, 2705 nt
Organism: Poecilia reticulata (guppy)
Lineage: Eukaryota; Metazoa; Chordata; Actinopteri; Cyprinodontiformes; Poeciliidae
Source: RefSeq, a predicted model, not a curated record